Molecule: unclassified non-coding RNA, 185 nt
Filed under: Microascus verrucosus
Lineage: Eukaryota; Fungi; Ascomycota; Sordariomycetes; Microascales; Microascaceae
Description: partial internal transcribed spacer 2
Source: RNAcentral
CUGCCCUCGAGCGCGGUUCGGCCCCUAGCGGGCCGCGCCGCCGCCCGGUGUUGGGGAUCUGCUGGCGACCCGCCCGCAGGCCCUGAAAAGAAGUGGCGGUCCCGCCGCGGCGCCCCCUGCGUAGUAGUAAAACCACCUCGCAUCGGGUCCCGGCGAAGGCCAGCCGUCAAACCUAUCUCUAAGAU